GUAGGUGAACCUGCGGAAGGAUCAUUACAGAGAACUUGCCCUUCGGGGUAGAUCUCCCACCCUUUGUUUAUAUUACCUUUGUUGCUUUGGCAGGCCCGUCUCUCGGGACCGCUGGCUUUGGCUGGCCCGUGCCUGUCAGAGGAUUUAAAACUCUUGUUUAAAUGUCGUCUGAGUACUAUAUAAUAAGUUAAAACUUUCAACAACGGAUCUCUUGGUUCUG
This 220-nucleotide unclassified non-coding RNA is filed under the name rhizosphere metagenome. Its description in RNAcentral is "partial ribosomal RNA internal transcribed spacer region". The record is from RNAcentral.